This 610-nucleotide long non-coding RNA is filed under the name Marmota monax (woodchuck). Lineage: Eukaryota; Metazoa; Chordata; Mammalia; Rodentia; Sciuridae. The record is from RNAcentral.
GGAAUUGCUAACUUGUUUUGUUUCCUGUGUCUCCCUUUUCUCAGUCAAUUAAUUAUAUCCAGCAGUGGUAAUCCAGGCACAGAUUCAAGAUUCCACUGUUCACCGCCAAAAACCAGAUAAGCAAUCAUACCUUCUUAUUACCCCUUAAAAGCCAUCCACUCUGCAAGACUAGCUAGGAGUAAAAUGUGAUCUUUCUAAGAGCCAAGAGAGUGGUCAGUUUUCUGAGAUUGGGAUGAGGGGAAUGGAGAGGAUGGAAGAGAGAGGAAGGCCUCUCCUUGCCUCUUGAAACAAAGCCAUGGGGAGAACUUGAUCUUGGACCCAAGUCUCCACCUCCUACUGACCUUUAUUACCCAGUGGUAAGUCCAUUGGGGCCUCCAGUUUAUGCUCAUCACUGGAGCCACUGCUCCUCCUGCAAGCCCAUGCCUAAGGAUGGAAUCAAAAAGAAGACAGGGCUAUGUAAUGCCAUACCAGGCCCGGGGCAGCCGCAGAGGUGGCAGGCAGGGACAUCUAUCUAAGCCUUGUGCAGUGUCUGGCCCACAGUGGGCACUCAGCUGUUAAAUGACUGAUGGUGGAUGGAAGAAUUUGGAAGAGAGGCUUUGGUUGUCCCAGG